AAAUAUUAAACACAGUAGUAAGUAAACCAUGCGGCUGAAGAGGGCUUCGCGGCCCUAGAACGGCCUGAGGGGGAGAGGUUUUAGUCGGUAGGCGUCCUUCGGGAUGAAUCCGACACUACCCGGUCGCACGGGCGGCCGGGUGUCUUUCGAAGAUUUCCUCACCUCCACGAAA
Molecule: non-coding RNA, 172 nt
Organism: Agrilus planipennis (emerald ash borer)
Lineage: Eukaryota; Metazoa; Arthropoda; Insecta; Coleoptera; Buprestidae
Source: Rfam